UCUCCGUUGGUGAACCAGCGGAGGGAUCAUUACAGAGUUGCGAAACUCCCUAAACCAUUUGUGAACCUACCCCCAAAACAGUUGCUUCGGCGGCGCCCUAGCCGGCCCCCGUGCCGGCAGCCCGUCAGAAGACCAAAACUCUUCGUCAUCAGUGGCCUCUCUGAGUAACUUAUACAAUAAGUCAAAACUUUCAACAACGGAUCUCUUGGUUCUG
This 214-nucleotide unclassified non-coding RNA is filed under the name root metagenome. RNAcentral describes it as "partial contains small subunit ribosomal RNA, internal transcribed spacer 1, and 5.8S ribosomal RNA". The record is from RNAcentral.